GAGAAUCGGACAAGGUGUAGCAGGACGACAACAAGUGACGUUGGUUUGGGAGUAUUUGUUAAUUUUGUGAAUAAAUGUUAAUUUGUGGGCCUUCCUCCCUCCCCUGUGGAGAUGUUACAACAAAACUUUGGGAGAUUGAACUGCUCUAUAACAGCUGAAAAUGAUAACUGGAGCAUGGAACAAAAGCUUCCACCAGCACUGCCACCACCACUACUAGCACCACCACCUAUGGCAAGAUGAGAACCUUGGGAAAUUGAACAGCACCAUCACAACUGACAAUGAUAACUGCAGGCUGAGACAGCUGUCAUUGUAGAACUUAAUUCCAAUGAACACCAUAACACCACCACCACAGCACUGCCACCACAUAUGGCAAGGUAAACUAAAGGAGUCAUUUGUCUG
This is a long non-coding RNA of Homarus americanus (American lobster), 399 nucleotides long. RefSeq lists it as uncharacterized. The transcript has 3 exons. Lineage: Eukaryota; Metazoa; Arthropoda; Malacostraca; Decapoda; Nephropidae. The record is from RefSeq and is a predicted model, not a curated record.